AUUGAACGCUGGCGGCAGGCUUAACACAUGCAAGUCGAACGAGUGGCGGACGGGUGAGUAAUGCUUGGGAAUCUAGCUUAUGGAGGGGGAUAACUACGGGAAACUGUAGCUAAUACCGCGUACCAUAGGAUGAGCCCAAGUGGGAUUAGGUAGUUGGUGAGGUAAAUGCUAACCGAGCCGACGAUAUCUAGCUGGUCUGAGAUGAUGACCAGCCACACUGGGACUGAGACACUGCCCAACUGCCUACGGGAGGCCGCAGUGGGGAAUAUUGCGCAAUGGGUGCAACCUGAUGCAGACAUGCCGCGAGAAUGAAGAAGGCCUUCGGGUUGUAAAGUUCUUUCGGUAGCGAGGCGUUAACUACAGAAGAAGCACCGGCUAACUCCGUGCCAGCAGCCGCGGUAAUAC
Molecule: ribosomal RNA, 405 nt
Filed under: uncultured bacterium
Lineage: Bacteria
Description: partial 16S ribosomal RNA
Rfam family: Bacterial small subunit ribosomal RNA
Source: RNAcentral